UAGUGAGUGAGUGAGUGAGUGAGUGGAUGAGUGAGUGACCCACCCAGCGUAAACAUACAUAUUCACAGUGAGAAUUUGACCGAGCCUCUGUCACUUAAUGGUAAUUUCAAUCUCUUUGUUUCAACCACUAGAGACGCCCAACUUCCCCCCCGUUCCUAACACAAGAUACCAGGUUCCUUUGUGUGAGGGCUAGACUCAACUUUACACCUAAAUACAAGACCCUGCAGGACAUCCCAGGUGUAAGAUACAACCACGGGGGGUCGGCACCAAUUAGACAAAUGGGUGUGAAAACUCUCUGGGGAGGGGGCGGCCCCUGCAACAGACAAAGGGAUGUGAAACAUAUGCUGAGGGGUGUUCCUCAGGUAUUAGUAUUCGGGAUUUUUCUUUAACUGUUCACGUGUUGAUUGACCUUUUCUUUGCAAAGAAAAUAAAACCUUGUCGGUCGGCAAAAGUCUCUAUUUCAUUCCUCAUCAGCAGCAGAGGGAACUUCCACAACAGUGGGUAUAUGUUUUUUUUUUUUUUACAAACAGCAAGAACAACACCAUCAAUCAGCUGGAGCAGUUCAGGCUCUCGUCAGUCUUCAGGACAUGUUUCUAACACACUCAGUCCAAGCAAAUCCCAGUCAAUUCUCCCCCUGCACAAACAGCUGUAACUGUCAGAUAAUCACUGCUGCUGCUGGCUCACAUGUCCCCCGUGUCCCUCACACUCUACAGUCCUGGAUUAUAGACAGAUCCUGAAGGUUUUUGGCCCCUGUGCAAACCCCUUUUUGAUAAACGUACAGGUCACCUCCAGUGGAAGACCAGGUAUCUUGUGCACCUGGAUCCUAUUAGAAGGAUCUGGUGUUUAAUACUGCGUCCACACAUACAGCUACAGUCGUGGUUUCAGAGGGAUGGUCAAAUGAGUGAUGAGGAAAACCAAGAAAAACUGUCGGUGGUGUUGAAGCAGCUGUUUUCCCGGCUCUGUGUGGACACACUACAGCGACCCGUCAGCG
Long non-coding RNA from Solea solea (common sole), 991 nucleotides. RefSeq lists it as uncharacterized. The transcript has 3 exons. The record is from RefSeq and is a predicted model, not a curated record. Lineage: Eukaryota; Metazoa; Chordata; Actinopteri; Pleuronectiformes; Soleidae.